This is a long non-coding RNA of Arachis duranensis, 312 nucleotides long. RefSeq lists it as uncharacterized. The transcript is spliced from 3 exons. NCBI's taxonomy places the organism in Eukaryota, Viridiplantae, Streptophyta, Magnoliopsida, Fabales, Fabaceae. The record is from RefSeq and is a predicted model, not a curated record.
CAAACUUCAACUUGGUCAACUUUGAAGACUUCUGGCAAAGCUCCAGUGUCACGUGGAGGCCAAUCAGCUAACCCUGUUGGAACAAGCUUAGUAAUUUUUGGUGGACAACAUGCAAAGGGGACUCUUUUGAAUGAUCUGCAUAUUCUUGACCCUGGAGACCAUGACAUGGGAUGAAAUUGAUGCCAUAUUUGGAAUCUUGGCUCUCUAGACCCUAAUUUUACAUUGGAUGCUCAUCAGAAAGGAGUGAAUUGUGUUGAUUACUUUACAGGUGGUGACAAACCUUACCUAAUAACUAGAUCUGAUGAUCACACU